Molecule: ribosomal RNA, 425 nt
Filed under: uncultured Chlamydiae bacterium
Lineage: Bacteria; Pseudomonadati; Chlamydiota; Chlamydiia
Description: bacterial SSU rRNA
Rfam family: Bacterial small subunit ribosomal RNA
Source: RNAcentral
AACGCGAAGAACCUUACCCAGGCUCGAAAUGUAAAGGACGGUAUCAGAGAUGAUACUUUCCGCAAGGACUUUUAUAUAGGUGCUGCAUGGCUGUCGUCAGCUCGUGCCGUGAGGUGUUGGGUUAAGUCCCGCAACGAGCGCAACCCUUAUCAUUAGUUGCCAACACGCGAGGUGGGGACUCUAAUGAGACUGCCUGGGUUAACCAGGAGGAAGGUGAGGAUGAUGUCAAGUCCGCAUGGCCUUUAUGUCUGGGGCUACACACGUGCUACAAUGGUCGGUACAGAAGGCAGCAAGACCGCAAGGUGGAGCAAAUCCGAAAAGCCGAUCACAGUUCAGAUUGUAGUCUGCAACUCGACUACAUGAAGUUGGAAUUGCUAGUAAUGACGUGUCAGCAACAACGUCGUGAAUACGUUCCCGGGCUUGUA